This 243-nucleotide ribosomal RNA is filed under the name uncultured bacterium. Its description in RNAcentral is "partial small subunit ribosomal RNA". It matches the Rfam family "Bacterial small subunit ribosomal RNA", at positions 26 to 285 of the family's 1533-position model. The record is from RNAcentral.
AGAAUCAACGCUGGCGGCGUGCCUAACACAUGCAAGUCGAACGAGAAAGUGGAGCAAUCCAUGAGUACAGUGGCGUACGGGUGAGUAACACGUGACUAACCUACCCUCGAGUGGGGAAUAACCUCGGGAACCGGGGCUAAUACCGCAUAAUAUCUUCGGAUCAAAUGCGUAAGCAGCUUGAGGAGGGGUCGCGGCCGAUUAGCUAGUUGGCGGGGUAAUGGCCCACCAAGGCAAUGAUCGGUA